Molecule: long non-coding RNA, 708 nt
Filed under: Homo sapiens (human)
Lineage: Eukaryota; Metazoa; Chordata; Mammalia; Primates; Hominidae
Description: HSALNT0290257
Source: RNAcentral
UCAAAGUGUGGCUCUUGGACCACAGCAGCAGCAGCAUUACCUAGAAGCUUGUCAGAAAUGCAGAAUCCCAGGCUCUCGACCCACCCAGACCGACUGCAUCAAAGCCUGAACAUUAACAAGAUUCCCGGGAGACUCAUAUGCACAUUGCAGUUGGAGACGCAGUUGGAGAACUGAGCUGAAGCAGGGUUCCUCUGCCCUGCCGGCUGCUUGUUCUCUCCUUGUCCCUCCUCCCACAGCCUCCGGAAACCCCAUCUGGGGAGCUGUUCUGCAAAGCUGCACCUUAUCCACCUCCUGGAGCAAAACACGAGCUACCUGCCGGGGACUGUUCAGAGUGCUUCCUGCGAAGUCUCCCACUCAGAAGUCACAGCGAUCCUAGGAGGUAGAUCUAUUCCUGUGCCCGUUUUACAGACAAGGAAACUGAGGCAGAGUUUUGGUAACCGGACUUGCCUUUGGAACCCAGCCGCCAUGCUGUGAGGAAGCCCAGGAUAACCCACGUGGUGAGGCCAUGCAGACAGGUUGUGCAUGGGGUUCUAGCCAAGAGCCUGGCUGAGAUCUCAGCCAACAGUCAGCUGUGUGAGUGAAUGUGCCUUCGGAUGAUUCCAUUCCCUGGUUAUCAAGUCACCCCCAGCCUUUGUCUUCCCAGACAAGACCCUAGAAUGAGGCAGCAGAGAUAAGCUGUUCCCACCAUGCCCUGUUCAAAUUCCUGAC